UACGUAGGGUGCAAGCGUUAAUCGGAAUUACUGGGCGUAAAGCGUGCGCAGGCGGUUUUGUAAGUCUGUCGUGAAAUCCCCGGGCUCAACCUGGGAAUUGCGAUGGAGACUGCAAGGCUAGAGUUUGGCAGAGGGGGGUAGAAUUCCACGUGUAGCAGUGAAAUGCGUAGAGAUGUGGAGGAACACCGAUGGCGAAGGCAGCCCCCUGGGAUAACACUGACGCUCAUGCACGAAAGCGUGGGGAGCAAACAGG
RNAcentral lists this ribosomal RNA (253 nucleotides) under uncultured bacterium. Its description in RNAcentral is "partial 16S ribosomal RNA". It matches the Rfam family "Bacterial small subunit ribosomal RNA", at positions 524 to 776 of the family's 1533-position model. The record is from RNAcentral.